Molecule: ribosomal RNA, 551 nt
Filed under: uncultured fungus
Lineage: Eukaryota; Fungi
Description: eukaryotic LSU rRNA
Rfam family: 5.8S ribosomal RNA (bases 186-339)
Source: RNAcentral
AAGUCGUAACAAGGUCUCCGUUGGUGAACCAGCGGAGGGAUCAUUACUGAGUACUACACUCUCUACCCUUUGUGAACUAUUAUACCUGUUGCUUCGGCGGCGCCCGCGAGGGUGCCCGCCGGUCUCAUCAGAAUCUCUGUUUUCGAACCCGACGAUACUUCUGAGUGUUCUUAGCGAACUGUCAAAACUUUUAACAACGGAUCUCUUGGCUCCAGCAUCGAUGAAGAACGCAGCGAAACGCGAUAUGUAAUGUGAAUUGCAGAAUUCAGUGAAUCAUCGAAUCUUUGAACGCACAUGGCGCCUUCCAGUAUCCUGGGAGGCAUGCCUGUCCGAGCGUCGUUUCAACCCUCGAGCCCCUGUGGCCCGGCGUUGGGGAUCUGCCACGGCAGGCCCCUAAAACCAGUGGCGGACCCGAAGGGCCCUCUCCUUUGCGCAGUAGCAUUCGCCUCGCAUCGGGAGUCCUCGGCGUCCUGCCUCUAAACCCCCCACAAGCCCGCUUCGGCGGCACCAAGGUUGACCUCGGAUCAGGUAGGAAUACCCGCUGAACUUAA